CAGGCCGGGCGGCUGGCGGAAGCGCUCGUAAGCAGCGAUCAGCGCGAGCAUCCGCGCGCGCCCGGUCAAACCUCCGGGCCGGCCUGG
RNAcentral lists this transfer RNA (87 nucleotides) under compost metagenome. RNAcentral describes it as "tRNA-Ala". The record is from RNAcentral.